CUACGGAGGGUGCAAGCGUUAUCCGGAAUCAUUGGGUUUAAAGGGUCCGCAGGCGGAUUAAUAAGUCAGUGAUGAAAUCCUCUCGCUCAACGAGAGAACUGCCAUUGAAACUGUUAGUCUUGAAUUCGGUCGAAGUAGGCGGAAUGUGUCAUGUAGCGGUGAAAUGCAUAGAUAUGACACAGAACACCGAUAGCGAAGGCAGCUUACUAGACCUGGAUUGACGCUCAUGGACGAAAGCGUGGGGAGCGAACAGGAUUAGAAACCCGAGUAGUCC
RNAcentral lists this ribosomal RNA (274 nucleotides) under uncultured bacterium. RNAcentral's name for it is "partial 16S ribosomal RNA". It matches the Rfam family "Bacterial small subunit ribosomal RNA", at positions 523 to 796 of the family's 1533-position model. The record is from RNAcentral.